UUGUGCAUGAUGAGGACAUCAAUACCAUUGUUACACCCACAGCCCCUACUGUUACAUAUACUGGACCAAUUACUAGAGCUCGCGCAUGUCAAUUAAAUUACCAGGUACUUCCGUUUCUUGGUAAUGAUUCUAAUGUUCAUGAGAUUAUGAUGCUGUCUAAAUUGGAUACAUUUGUUUUGCUUACAAAUGAAGGGCCUAGCUUGGAGAAGGAUGAACAUUGGAGCAAGAACACGCAUGGAGUUGAUGGCAUGCACAAGGGGAUCAAGAACGAAGUUACAAGUGAUGGUUUCAGGACUUUGAAGCCGCCAUAAGGAGUGCAUGAAGCCUUGGACGAAAUAUACAAGAUGCCACUUCAUAAUAUUCGUCCACAGGCUAUUCUAGGUGCUGCGUCACCUUAUUAAUGGGCCAGGCCCAUGUAAUUUCGAAAUACUUAAGUACAGGCUAUUUUUAGAGUCCGUAUGUGUGGGGAAACAAGAGUUAGGGUUGGUUUUGGACCCCAUCCUCAAGGGCCACGAAAUUCCCCCCUCUUCCUCCAUAUAUACAGCCCUUAGGGCAUCGUUUAGACUUUGGGUUUUGUUUAGAUUAAAAGUUCGCCAUAGCUGCAACUUCGCGUACUUCGUUUGUGUCCAACGACCAGACCAAGACGUUACAGAACCCCACCUUGAUCAAUAAAGCUUUCAUCUUAUAUUCGCAAUAUCCCGAUUGCAAUCUCAGUUUUUUGCUUGUUCUUCGUUUGUUCGCAGGAAACAGAUCCUCGUGGUCAGGUUGAUUGUGCUCCGGCGUGGUCAAUAACCCUCGGAAGUUGGUUUAGCGAUUGCUAAGGCGCGACGUCUCGCACGUUCGUAGUCGGAUCGUCAAGGUCGACUCCCACAGAAAACGAUAGCCACCAUCUCAUCGAAACAUCGGGACACCUUAGCAUCUAUCAAGUGGUAUCAGAUUUCCAGGUUGCUUGGUGAGAUUUUAUAGUUUUUCGUAGAUUAGAUCGAGUCUGUUCUUCAUACCUACAGUCCAUGAAAAAGCCACAAAAAAAAUUAGGGUUAGUUCAUCAUAUCCGAACCAAUCUGAGCCUUUGCAUAAUCUUUUUAGGGUUUUUUUUGUUGAAUUUGCGGUUGCAUUAUCGUGUCAAGUUGCUGGUCUUAGAGUUUAGUCUUUUAGAGUUUCGAGUUUUGGUCAUAAGUUGUCACGCCGCCGCCGCACCAUCAUCAUCGCCCAUCUACCACUUUUGCUUAUCCGCCACCGCUUUGAAUCCAUAUCCAUAUAUCCACCACCAAUCCGAGUUCGUCUCAUAUUAGGUUUGUUCUUGAUAUCAAUCUAAAUUCCGCUUCGUGUUUCCUUGCCCGCGUAGGUCUCGAAAAAAAAAGAGUCUGGAGACCACGUGCAUCAUCUACUUCCACACGUUCUGCUACACCGGCGCCUCCGUCGGCUGCCACCUCCAACCGUGAUACAAUAAAGCAGGCACAAUCACCACUAUCUGCCAAGAGCACACCUUCUGGGCCUGCAAAGAGCUCUUCUUCAUCCAUGGCAUCAACAGGGCAAACACAUGAUAUUAUUUGUUGACGUUGCAAGGGUGGAGGUCAUUAUGCGAGAGAAUGCCCAUCUAAGCAUGUGAUGAUUGUUACUGAGGAUGGUGGGUAUGAGUCCGCUAGUGACUAUGAUGAGGAGACUUUGGCUCUUAUUACACGUGACGAACACGGUGGAGACGAUUCUGAUCAUGAGACGCAAUACAUGGCUCCUGAAGAUGCUGACAAGUAUGAAUGUUUAGUUGCUCAACGUGUUUUGAGUGUGCAGGUUACACAAGCUGAGCAAAAUCAGAGGCAUAAUUUGUUCCAUACAAAGGGAGUUGUGAAGGAACGUUCUGUUCGCGUGAUCAUAGAUGGAGGGAGCUGCAAUAACUUGGCUAGCAUGGAGAUGGUGGAGAAGCUAUCUCUCACCACAAGACCACAUCCACAUCCAUACUACAUCCAAUGGUUCAACAACAGCGGCAAGGUUAAGGUAACACGUACUGUUCGUGUGCAUUUUAGUAUCUCUACAUAUGCUGAUUAUGUUGAUUGUGAUGUGGUACCUAUGAAAGCAUGUUCCUUAUUACUUGGUAGACCAUGGCAAUUUGAUAAAAAUUCUGUACACCAUGGUAGAAACAAUCAGUAUACUCUUGUUCAUAACGAUAAAAAUAUUACUUUGCUUCCUAUGACUCCUGAUUCCAUUUUGAAAGAUGAUAUUAAUAGAGCUAAUAAAGCAAAACAGGAGACAAAUAAGAGUGAAAAUCAGAUUGUGGCAAAAGAAUUUGAGCACCAAAUGAAGCCUAAUAAUAAACCAUCUACUGUUGUUUCUGAAAUUAAAUUGAAAAGUGCAUGUUUACUUGCCACAAAAUCUGAUAUUGAUGAGCUAGAUUUUAGCAAAUCUGUUUGCUAUGCUUUUGUGUGCAAAGAGGCAUUAUUUUCAUUCGAGGACGUGCCUUCCUCUUUGCCCCCUGCUGUCACUAACAUUUUGCAGGAGUUCGCUGACGUCUUUCCACAAGACGUGCCACCGGGAUUACCACCUAUUCAAGGGAUUGAGCAUCAAAUUGACUUAAUUCCCGGUGCUUCGCUACCCAACCGUGCACCAUACCGUACCAAUCUAGAGGAGACGAAGGAGAUUACACGUCAAGUACAAGAACUGCUCGACAAAGGUUAUAUACGCGAAUCCCUUAGUCCUUGUGCUGUUCCUAUCAUUUUAGUGCCGAAAAAGGAUGGUACGUCGCGUAUGUGCGUUGAUUGUAGAGGCAUUAAUAAUAUUACUAUUCGUUAUCGUCAUCCUAUUCUUAGGCUAGAUGAUAUGCUUGAUGAAUUGAGUGGCUCUACAAUAUUCUCCAAAGUUGAUUUGCGUAGUGGAUACCAUCAAAUUCGUAUGAAAUUGGGUGAUGAAUGGAAAACAUCAUUUAAAACUAAGUUUGGAUUAUAUGAGUGGUUAGUCAUGCCUUUUGGGUUAACUAAUGCACCUAGUACUUUCAUGAGGUUAAUGAACGAAGUUUUACGUGCUUUCAUUGGAUGAUUUGUGGUAGUUUACUUUGAUGACAUAUUGAUUUAUAGCAAAUCUUUGGAGGAACAUUUGGAACAUUUAUGUGCUGUUUUUAUUGCUCUACGUGAUGCACGUUUGUUUGGAAACCUUGGAAAGUGCACCUUUUGCACCGACCGAGUAUCUUUUCUUGGCUAUGUUGUUACUCCACAGGGAAUUGAAGUUGAUAAAGCCAAGAUUGAAGCUAUUGAGAGUUGGCCGCAGCCCAAAACGGUCACACAAGUGAGGAGUUUCCUUGGCCUCGCUGGUUUCUAUAGGCGUUUUGUGAGAGAUUUCAGCACCAUUGCUGCACCUCUCAACGAGCUUACAAAGAAGGAUGUGCCUUUUGUUUGGGGUACCUCACAGGAAGAAGCCUUCACGGUAUUGAAAGAUAAGUUGACACAUGUUCCUUUACUCCAACUUCCUAAUUUCAAUAAGACUUUUUCGCUUGAAUGUGAUGCUAGUGGAAUUGGAUUAGGAGGUGUGUUAUUACAAGAUGGAAAACCUGUUGCAUACUUUUCUGAAAAAUUGAGUGGGCCUAGUCUGAACUAUUCUACUUAUGAUAAAGAAUUAUAUGCUCUUAUUCGGACCUUAGAAACAUGGCAACAUUAUUUAUGGCCCAAGGAAUUUGUUAUACAUUCUAAUCAUGAAUCUUUGAAACACAUUAAAAGUCAAGAAAAACUGAACCGUAGACAUGCUAAAUGGGUUGAAUUCAUUGAGACUUUCCCUUAUGUCAUUAAACACAAGAAGGGUAAAGAAAAUGUUAUUGCUGAUGCCUUGUCUCGUCGUUAUACUAUGCUUUCACAACUUGACUUUAAAAUAUUUGGUUUGGAGACCAUCAAAGAUCAAUAUGUUCAUGAUGCUGAAUUUAAAGAUGUAUUGCAGAAUUGUAAGGAAGGGAGAACUUGGAACAAGUUCGUUCUUAAUGAUGGAUUUGUGUUUCGUGCUAACAAGCUAUGCAUUCCAGCUAGCUCCGUUCGUCUUUUGUUGUUGCAGGAGGCGCAUGGAGGAGGAUUAAUGGGACACUUUGGCGUCAAGAAGACGGAGGAUAUACUUGCUACACAUUUCUUUUGGCCAAAGAUGAGACGGGAUGUUGAGCGUUUUGUUGCUCGCUGCACUACAUGUCAAAGAGCUAAGUCACGACUCAAUCCUCAUGGUUUAUAAUGCCUUUAUCUGUACCUAGUGUUCCUUGGGAGGAUAUAUCUAUGGACUUUGUUUUAGGUUUACCUCGAACAAAGAAGGGGAGGGAUAGCAUAUUUGUUGUCGUGGAUAGGUUCUCGAAAAUGGCACACUUUAUACCAUGUCAUAAAAGCGAUGAUGCUGUUAAUGUUGCUGAUUUGUUCUUCCGUGAAAUUAUUCGCUUACAUGGUGUGCCAAAUACUAUUGUUUCAGAUUGUGAUACUAAAUUUCUUAGCCACUUUUGGAGAUGUUUAUGGGCUAAGUUGGGGACUAAGCUGCUUUUUAGUACUACUUGUCACCCCCAAACUGAUGGACAAACUGAAGUAGUCAAUAGAACAUUGUCUACUAUGCUUAGGGCUGUUUUGAAGAAUAACAAGAAAAUGUGGGAAGAAUGCUUGCCUCAUAUUGAAUUUGCUUAUAAUCGUUCAUUGCAUUCUACUACUAAGAUGUGCCCUUUUGAAAUUGUGUAUGGUUUCCGACCUCGUGCACCUAUUAAUUUGUUGCCUCUUCCAUCUUCAGAGAAGGUUAAUUUUGAUGCUAAAGAACGUUCUGAAUUGAUUUUAAAAAUGCAUGAGUUAACUAAGGAAAACAUUGAGCGUAUGAAUGCUAAAUAUAAACUUGCUGGAGAUAAGGUAGAAAACAUGUUGUGUUUGCGCCUGGAGAUCUUGUUUGGUUACAUUUGCGUAAAGAUAGAUUUCCUAAUCUACGCAAAUCAAAGCUAAAGCCACGUGCUGAUGGUCCUUUUAAGGUGUUAGAGAAAAUAAAUGAUAAUGCAUAUAAACUUGAGCUACCUGUAGAUUUUGGGGUUAGUCCCACUUUUAACAUUGCAGAUUUGAAGCCUUAUUUGGGUGAGGAAGAUGCGCUUCCGUCGAGGACGACUUCAUUUCAAGAAGGGGAGGAUGAUGAGGACAUCAAUACCAUUGUUACACCCACAGCCCCUACUGUUACAUAUACUGGACCAAUUACUAGAGCUCGCGCACGCCAAUUAAAUUACCAGGUACUUUCGUUUCUUGGUAAUGAUUCUAAUGUUCAUGAGAUUAUAAUGCUGCCUAAAUUGGAUACAUUUGUUUUGCUUACAAAUGAAGGGCCUAGCUUGGAGAAGGAUGAACAUUGGAGCAAGAACACGCAUGGAGUUGAUGGCAUGCGCAAGGGGAUCAAGAACGGAGUUACAAGUGAUGGUUUCAGGACUUUGAAGCCGCCAUAAGGAGUGCAUGAAGCCUUGGACGAAAUAUACAAGAUGCCACUUCAUAAUAUUCGUCCAUAGGCUAUUCUAGGUGCUGCGUCACCUUAUUAAUGGGCCAGGCCCAUGUAAUUUCGAAAUACUUAAGUACAUGCUAUUUUUAGAGUCCGUAUGUGUGGGGAAACAAGAGUUAGGGUUGGUUUCGGACCCCACCCUCAAGGGCCACGAAAUUCCCCCCUCUUCCUCCAUAUAUACAACCCUUAGGGCAUCGUUUAGACUUUGGGUUUUG
Molecule: long non-coding RNA, 5678 nt
Filed under: Triticum aestivum (bread wheat)
Lineage: Eukaryota; Viridiplantae; Streptophyta; Magnoliopsida; Poales; Poaceae
Description: long non-coding RNA (TAES_LNC010204)
Source: RNAcentral